This 527-nucleotide ribosomal RNA is filed under the name uncultured Comamonadaceae bacterium. Its description in RNAcentral is "bacterial SSU rRNA". It matches the Rfam family "Bacterial small subunit ribosomal RNA", at positions 8 to 526 of the family's 1533-position model. The record is from RNAcentral. Lineage: Bacteria; Pseudomonadati; Pseudomonadota; Betaproteobacteria; Burkholderiales; Comamonadaceae.
AGAGUUUGAUCCUGGCUCAGAUUGAACGCUGGCGGCAUGCCUUACACAUGCAAGUCGAACGGUAGAGGGGCAACCCUUGAGAGUGGCGAACGGGUGAGUAAUGCAUCGGAACGUGCCCAGUCGUGGGGGAUAACGCAGCGAAAGCUGUGCUAAUACCGCAUGUGAUCUGUGGAUGAAAGCAGGGGACUUGGUAGCAAUACUGGGCCUUGUGCGAUUGGAGCGGCCGAUGUCAGAUUAGCUAGUUGGUAGGGUAAAAGCCUACCAAGGCGACGAUCUGUAGCUGGUCUGAGAGGACGACCAGCCACACUGGGACUGAGACACGGCCCAGACUCCUACGGGAGGCAGCAGUGGGGAAUUUUGGACAAUGGGCGCAAGCCUGAUCCAGCAAUGCCGCGUGCAGGACGAAGGCCUUCGGGUUGUAAACUGCUUUUGUACGGAGCGAAACGGUCUGGGUUAAUACCCUGGGCUAAUGACGGUACCGUAAGAAUAAGCACCGGCUAACUACGUGCCAGCCGCCGCGGUAAUAC